RNAcentral lists this ribosomal RNA (495 nucleotides) under uncultured bacterium. RNAcentral describes it as "partial 16S ribosomal RNA". It matches the Rfam family "Bacterial small subunit ribosomal RNA", at positions 28 to 507 of the family's 1533-position model. The record is from RNAcentral.
GACGAACGCUGGCGGCGUGCCUAAUACAUGCAAGUAGAACGCUGAAGGAGGAGCUUGCUUCUCUGGAUGAGUUGCGAACGGGUGAGUAACGCGUAGGUAACCUGCCUGGUAGCGGGGGAUAACUAUUGGAAACGAUAGCUAAUACCGCAUAAUAUUGACUAUUGCAUGAUAGUCAGUUGAAAGGUGCAACUGCACCACUACCAGAUGGACCUGCGUUGUAUUAGCUAGUUGGUGGGGUAACGGCUCACCAAGGCGACGAUACAUAGCCGACCUGAGAGGGUGAUCGGCCACACUGGGACUGAGACACGGCCCAGACUCCUACGGGAGGCAGCAGUAGGGAAUCUUCGGCAAUGGACGGAAGUCUGAACGAGCAACGCCGCGGGAGUGAAGAAGGUUUUCGGAUCGUAAAGCUCUGUUGUAAGAGAAGAACGAGUGUGAGAGUGGAAAGCUCACACUGUGACGGUAUCUUAACAGAAAGGGACGGCUAACUACGUG